CGUGCAGGAGGACCGCGGGGAUCCGCUCGCGUUUGUCGAGCAGUAUUUCGCGCAGUUCAAGGUCGCGCUGCGCCCC
RNAcentral lists this transfer RNA (76 nucleotides) under Betaproteobacteria bacterium. Its description in RNAcentral is "tRNA-Lys". Lineage: Bacteria; Pseudomonadati; Pseudomonadota; Betaproteobacteria. The record is from RNAcentral.